Molecule: ribosomal RNA, 468 nt
Filed under: uncultured bacterium
Lineage: Bacteria
Description: partial 16S ribosomal RNA
Rfam family: Bacterial small subunit ribosomal RNA
Source: RNAcentral
GACGAACGCUGGCGGCGUGCUUAACACAUGCAAGUCGAACGGAAAGGCCCUGCUUUUGUGGGGUGCUCGAGUGGCGCACGGGUGUGUAACACGUGAGUAUCCUGUCCUUGUCUUUGGGAUAACUUCAGGAAACUGGGGCUAAUAUCGGAUAGGAGCUCCUGCUGCAUGUUGGUGGUUGGAAAGAUUCGGCGGUUGGGGAUGGACUCGCGGGUUAUCAGCUUGCUGGUGGGGUAGUUGCUUACCAAGGCUUUGACGGGUAGCCGGCCUGGGAGGGUGAACGGCCACAAUGCGACUGAGAUACGGCCCAGACGCCUACGGGAGGCAGAAGUCGGGAAUAUUGCACAAUGGGCGGAAGCCUGAGGCAGCGACGCCGCGUGCGGGAAGACGGCCUUCGGGUUGUAAACCGCUGUCGCCUGUGACGAAGCGUGAGUGACGGUAAUGAGUAAAGAAGCACCGGCUAACUACGUG